CGGUCGGCAGUUCACCGAGGCGUCGCUGUCCCGCAAGGGAAGCUAAACCUGCCC
This is a regulatory RNA element of Rhodobacter capsulatus SB 1003, 54 nucleotides long. It matches the Rfam family "COG3860 RNA". The record is from Rfam. NCBI's taxonomy places the organism in Bacteria, Pseudomonadati, Pseudomonadota, Alphaproteobacteria, Rhodobacterales.